UUAAGUGCCCAAAUCGACGGUCUCUCGAGAUGAGAGCGAACAGGGAACGCGGUACGGAAUUGCCCAAAUCCGCGGCUGCCCCCGCAACUGU
RNAcentral lists this non-coding RNA (91 nucleotides) under Methyloceanibacter marginalis. The record is from RNAcentral. Lineage: Bacteria; Pseudomonadati; Pseudomonadota; Alphaproteobacteria; Hyphomicrobiales; Hyphomicrobiaceae.